Molecule: ribosomal RNA, 392 nt
Filed under: uncultured bacterium
Lineage: Bacteria
Description: partial 16S ribosomal RNA
Rfam family: Bacterial small subunit ribosomal RNA
Source: RNAcentral
AUACGGAGGAUCCGAGCGUUAUCCGGAUUUAUUGGGUUUAAAGGGUGCGCAGGCGGCCAUUUAAGUCAGCGGUUAAAUCGUGGGGCUCAACCCCAUUCUGCCGUUGAUACUGGGUGGCUUGAUUGCGGUCGAGGUUGGCGGAAUUUGUUGUGUAGCGGGGAAAUGCAUAGAUAUGACGAAGAACACCGAUUGCGUAGGCAGCUGACCAGACCGCAAAUGACGCUCAUGCACGAAAGUGCGGGGAUCGAACAGGAUUAGAUACCCUGGUAGUCCGCACAGUAAACGAUGAAUACUUGUUUUCGGCGAUAUAAUGUCGGAGGCAAAGCGAAAGCGAUAAGUAUUCCACCUGGGGAGUACGCCGGCAACGGUGAAACUCAAAGGAAUUGGCGGGG